UCUGGUAGUUAUGGCGAGAAGGUCACACCCGUUCCCAUCCCGAACACGGUAGUUAAGCUUCUCUGCGCCAAUGGUAGUUGGGGGCUUCCCC
This 91-nucleotide ribosomal RNA is filed under the name Listeria monocytogenes. RNAcentral also lists the same sequence under 1 other name. Lineage: Bacteria; Bacillati; Bacillota; Bacilli; Caryophanales; Listeriaceae. The record is from RNAcentral.